This is a long non-coding RNA of Rhinopithecus roxellana (golden snub-nosed monkey), 310 nucleotides long. RefSeq lists it as uncharacterized. Lineage: Eukaryota; Metazoa; Chordata; Mammalia; Primates; Cercopithecidae. The transcript is spliced from 3 exons. The record is from RefSeq and is a predicted model, not a curated record.
AUUUGAUGAUAAAAACAAAGGAAGUGGGUAGGAGCAAAGCUGCCGUGGAAUAAUGAAAUGAUGUCAGAUAGUAACUUGAAUCCUUAGGGGAAAAAAAGUGGACCUAAAAUGGAGAACACAAGGAUUUGGGAGAAAGAUGAGAAGUUCAAAUCAGGUUUAUGAUGAUUUUGAAGUGCCUAUAAAACAAGGUCAUGCUGAUGCAGGAAGUGGGCUCCCAUGGCCUUGAACAGCUCCACUCCUGUGGUUUUGCAGCGUAUAGCACCCCCGGCUGCCUUCAUGACUAGAGUUGAGUGUCUGCUGCUUUUCCAGG